CCUACGGGGGGCAGCAGUGGGGAAUAUUGGGCAAUGGGCGCAAGCCUGACCCAGCAACGCCGCGUGAAGGAAGAAGGCUUUCGGGUUGUUAACUUCUUUUAUCAGGGACGAAGCAAGUGACGGUACCUGAUGAAUAAGCCACGGCUAACUACGUGCCAGCAGCCGCGGUCAUACGUAGGGGGCAAGCGGUAACCGGAUUUACUGGGUGUAAAGGGCUUGUAGGCGGGAGUGCAAGUCAGAUGUGAAAACUAUGGGCUUAACCCAUAUCCUGCAUUUGAAACUGUACUUCUUGAGUGCUGGAGAGGCAAUCGGAAUUCGGGGUGUAGCGGUGAAAUGCGUAGAUAUACGGAGGAACACCAGUGGCGAAGGCGGAUUGCUGGUCAGUAACUGACGCUGAGGCGCGAAAGCGUGGGGAGCAAACAGGAUUAGAUACCCCGGUAGUC
Molecule: ribosomal RNA, 443 nt
Filed under: uncultured bacterium
Lineage: Bacteria
Description: partial 16S ribosomal RNA
Rfam family: Bacterial small subunit ribosomal RNA
Source: RNAcentral